This 77-nucleotide transfer RNA is filed under the name Klebsiella terrigena. RNAcentral's name for it is "Raoultella terrigena tRNA-Asn(gtt)". It matches the Rfam family "tRNA". From Rfam's summary of the family: Transfer RNA (tRNA) molecules are approximately 80 nucleotides in length. Lineage: Bacteria; Pseudomonadati; Pseudomonadota; Gammaproteobacteria; Enterobacterales; Enterobacteriaceae. The record is from RNAcentral. RNAcentral also lists the same sequence under 1 other name.
UCCUCUGUAGUUCAGUCGGGUAGAACGGCGGACUGUUAAUCCGUAUGUCACUGGUUCGAGUCCAGUCAGAGGAGCCA